GCUUCCGUAUCAGACUUAAAGCGCAUCAGUCGCAGCACAGACACUUCACUAUAUACACUUACGAUAUAUAUACUAUAUACCAACAUGCAAUUGAUCAAGAUUUGCGGUUUCGUCUUCGCUUUGAUUGUGGCCUUGGCCAGCGCUGAGCCUGAACCUCAAGGCACGCUGUUGAUCCAAACAAAGAAUGGCCAGGGCAUUUUCAGGGGCUAAAACUAAACUUUUUGGUUUAACUUAAGGAUAAAUGUGGCAUAAAAUAUAAAAUUUAAAAACUAAAAAA
Long non-coding RNA from Drosophila hydei, 277 nucleotides. RefSeq lists it as uncharacterized. NCBI's taxonomy places the organism in Eukaryota, Metazoa, Arthropoda, Insecta, Diptera, Drosophilidae. The record is from RefSeq and is a predicted model, not a curated record. The transcript is spliced from 2 exons.